UCGAACGUAAGAUGACUGUAGGUGAAAGCUUACAUCUCUUCGGAGCAUUUUACGAGGUGCUGCAUGGUUGUCGUCAGCUCGUGCCGUGAGGUGUCGGGUUAAGUCCCAUAACGAGCGCAACCCCUACCUUUAGUUGCCAUCAGGUUAAGCUGGGACUCUAAAGGAACUGCCUACGCAAGUAGUGAGGAAGGCGGGGAUGACGUCAAAUCAGCACGGCCCUUACGUCCAGGGCUACACACGUGCUACAAUGGCCGAUACAGAGGGCAGCUACCUGGUGACAGGAUGCAAAAUCUCCAAAGUCGGUCUCAGUUCGGAUCGGAGUCUGCAACCCGACUCCGUGAAGUUGGAUUCGCUAGUAAUCGCGCAUCAGCCAUGGCGCGGUGAAUACGUUCCCGGGCCUU
Molecule: ribosomal RNA, 401 nt
Filed under: uncultured Sphingobacteriales bacterium
Lineage: Bacteria; Pseudomonadati; Bacteroidota; Sphingobacteriia; Sphingobacteriales
Description: bacterial SSU rRNA
Rfam family: Bacterial small subunit ribosomal RNA
Source: RNAcentral